Molecule: transfer RNA, 72 nt
Filed under: Bacteroidales bacterium
Lineage: Bacteria; Pseudomonadati; Bacteroidota; Bacteroidia; Bacteroidales
Description: tRNA-Met
Rfam family: tRNA
About the family: Transfer RNA (tRNA) molecules are approximately 80 nucleotides in length. Their secondary structure includes four short double-helical elements and three loops (D, anti-codon, and T loops). Further hydrogen bonds mediate the characteristic L-shaped molecular structure. tRNAs have two regions of fundamental functional importance: the anti-codon, which is responsible for specific mRNA codon recognition, and the 3' end, to which the tRNAs corresponding amino acid is attached (by aminoacyl-tRNA synthetases). tRNAs cope with the degeneracy of the genetic code in two manners: having more than one tRNA (with a specific anti-codon) for a particular amino acid; and 'wobble' base-pairing, i.e. permitting non-standard base-pairing at the 3rd anti-codon position.
Source: RNAcentral
UGCGGGGUGGAGCAGUGGUAGCUCGUCGGGCUCAUAACCCGAAGGUCAUAGGUUCGAAUCCUAUCCCCGCUA